This 575-nucleotide long non-coding RNA is filed under the name Rattus norvegicus (Norway rat). RNAcentral describes it as "long non-coding RNA NONRATT023821". The record is from RNAcentral. Lineage: Eukaryota; Metazoa; Chordata; Mammalia; Rodentia; Muridae.
GGACCUUUCUGGUUGCUUUUAGACCUUGUGCUCUGAGAUAAUCGGGUGCCUGUGGAUAACUUUGUUUCUUAAUGAGAUGGAGUGGCCUGUCCCGAUAAGUGUUUGUCCGUGAAAUGGCUACACAGGACACAUCCCAGAGUUGGAGGGCCUCAAGAUUCCAGAGAACAGAGGAGGAAAGCAAGGUCACAGUGGAGGUGCUGCUGACACAGAUAUUGCAGAAAGGUUCAAUGGCAAGACAGAACUCCCAGAAUAUUAUGAAAGCUUUCUGCCCUCCCCUUUCCUUCUCUCUGUGUGCGGUGAGGCUACCGAUUGAACUUAGGCAAGUGCUCUACCACUGAACAGCUCUCCGCAGCUCCAGAACAGUUUGCAGGGACACUAUCAGACGGCCUGGGGAAGACGAUGGACAAUCGACACCAGUCAGAGCGAGAGUACAUCAGAUACCAUGCUGCCACCAGUGGGGAGCACCUUGUGGCUGGCAUCCAUGGCUUGGCUCAUGGUAUCAUUGGUGGAUUGACCAGUGUUAUAACAUCAACAGUGGAAGGUGUGAAAACAGAAGGAGGAGUCAGUGGCUUCAU